ACGUAUAGUGCGAUUGAUUUAGCGGCCGCCGUUCGAUCUUGUGCCAGCAGCCGUUAUGAUUCCAGCUCCAAUAGCGUAUAUUAAAGUUGUUGCGCCUAAAAAGCUCGUAGUUGAACCUUGGACCUGGUUGGCCGGUCCGCCUCACCGCGUGCACCGUCCCGGCCGGGCCUUUCCCUCUGUGGAACCCCAUACCCUUCACUGGGCGUGGUGUCCAAACAGGACAUUUACUUUGAAAAAAUUAGAGUGCUCCAGGAAGGCCUAUGCUCGAAUACUUUAUCAUGGAAUAAUAAAAUAGGACGCGCGGUUCUAUUUUGUUGCUUUAUUUUACCGCCGUAAUGAUUAAUAGCCACAGCCCGCCCCAUCAGGAUUCAACUGUCACAGAUGAAAUUCUUGGAUCAGUUGAAGACUAACUACUGCGAAAGCAUUUGCCAAGGAUGUUUUCAUUAAUCAGGAACGAAAGUUAGGGGAUCGAAGACGAUCAGAUACCGUCGUAGUCUUAACCAUAAACUAUGCCGGGGGAGGGGGGCGGACGGUGUUAUUCCAUGACCCCGUUCGGCACAAAACGAGACAUCUUACUGCUAUAAAAAAAAAAAAAAAAAAGUUCUCAUGUUUGAUUCUGUUGGAGGUUGGCGGCGCGGCACGGGAAGUUUUUAUUCUGUUUUUUAAUUCGCCUCAACCACGGCGCAACUCACAAGUCAAGACCAAUAGGAUUGAUUGUUUGAUAGUUCUUUCUGAUUGAGGGAGUGCGGCAUCGCCUGUCUUAGUUUGUAAUAACUAGCAAACAAAAUAGAAAUAACGAACGAGAACUUAACCCUGUGCUAGUCGGCCUCGCUUUGCUGCUUGCUAGAGGGUUGCAUCUUAAGAGGGACUUAGCAAGUACAAGCGAAAGUAGGUGAGGCAAUGAUGUUCAUGUAUGCCUUUGGAUGGUCUCGAGGUGAG
RNAcentral lists this ribosomal RNA (939 nucleotides) under uncultured fungus. RNAcentral describes it as "partial 18S ribosomal RNA". It matches the Rfam family "Eukaryotic small subunit ribosomal RNA", at positions 512 to 1490 of the family's 1831-position model. Lineage: Eukaryota; Fungi. The record is from RNAcentral.